AGCAGUGCUGCGCAGUGAUCGGAUAGGCCCUCUCUUUUGAGGGAUCAUCUUUUAGUUGUCUUCUCCCCAGCAAAGAAAGAUGCAAGCGCGGCGGUAGCUA
This 100-nucleotide small RNA is filed under the name Martinezella rhizogenes. Its description in RNAcentral is "Agrobacterium rhizogenes Rhizobiales sRNA Atu_Ti4". It matches the Rfam family "Rhizobiales sRNA Atu_Ti4". The record is from Rfam by way of RNAcentral. Lineage: Bacteria; Pseudomonadati; Pseudomonadota; Alphaproteobacteria; Hyphomicrobiales; Rhizobiaceae.